ACCCGCACAAGCGGUGGAUGAUGUGGAUUAAUUCGAUGCAACGCGAAAACUUACCUACCCUUGACAUGUACGGAACCCUUUAGAGAUAGAGGGGUGCUCGAAAGAGAGCCGUAACACAGGUGCUGCAUGGCUGUCGUCAGCUCGUGUCGUGAGAUGUUGGGUUAAGUCCCGCAACGAGCGCAACCCUUGUCAUUAGUUGCUACAUUCAGUUGGGCACUCUAAUGAGACUGCCGGUGACAAGCCGGAGGAAGGUGGGGAUGACGUCAAGUCCUCAUGGCCCUUAUAGGUGGGGCUACACACGUCAUACAAUGGCUGGUACAAAGGGUUGCCAACCCGCGAGGGGGAGCCAAUCCCAUAAAGCCAGUCGUAGUCCGGAUCGUAGUCUGCAACUCGACUACGUGAAGUCGGAAUCGCUAGUAAUCGUGGAUCAGAAUGUCACGGUGAAUACGUUCCCGGGUCUU
Molecule: ribosomal RNA, 461 nt
Filed under: uncultured Rhodoferax sp.
Lineage: Bacteria; Pseudomonadati; Pseudomonadota; Betaproteobacteria; Burkholderiales; Comamonadaceae
Description: bacterial SSU rRNA
Rfam family: Bacterial small subunit ribosomal RNA
Source: RNAcentral